GAUAAAAUACAGGGGGGAAGUGAAAGACAUUGAGGAAAUGUGUCAUUUUCUUGAAGGGUCCUCUCUGCAAGAAGCUGAGAGAAGAGCUUCAAAGUACUUCAGCAGCCAGCUGGGCACUGCAUUACCCUUACUAUUCAAAGCUGACAGAGAUGAAAAAGAACAGGAAAUACAGGUUCUGCUGGAGAUCAGAAAGGCACUGGAAAAGCUGAUGCAGUUUGUUAAGAAGAUACAAGAAGAAGAAAAGAGAAUAUGUGUGCAGAUUACACAGAGAGAGAAGCAGAGGGGAUGCACAUCAAGUACAGAAACAGUAACCAAUGUGAUGCUCAGACAGGUUAUACUUGCUCUAGCCUCUGAAUUUCAGGAAUGCAUGCUGAAACAACAAGCUAACGUGGAGACUGCAUACACCAAGCUGGAAUUUUUGAGGGACUUGUCAGAUAUCCAAACCCAGCAGGCAAAGAUGCUUUUCUGUGGGUCACAGCACUGUUUUGAAAACUAUGAGACAGUCAGAUACUAUGGCAGUAGUGGGAUCUCACACAGUACAUGCAAGGCCAUCGAUCACAGUGUGAUCCCACUGCUCAAGUCUAUGGUUCAGAUGCUGGAGGAAGAUAGCAGAAGUUAUGUAUCAUCUGAGACACCUGGUAAGAGAGGAGUUAAAGAAACAGCACGUUCUUCUCAGAGUAAACAAGAUGCCUUCUCGAGUCAAGAAGGAGAACUAAUAGUAGUGGAUUCUGCAGCCCUAUCCACGAGGGAGUUUAUCAUAUAUCAGUAUGGCAUCUCUUUGCUGCAGUUUCUCAGACUUCACAUUGAUGCUCCAGAAGUUAACCUGUGUGUUGCCUCCAGUAUUCCUCUCUGUAAUGCCACAGGCAAUGCCUUCAGGAACUCUUUCUUUUAUCAGACUUCGAAGAACAAACUGUUCAUCCUGAGGGAUUGCCUGGGUUCUGCUGGAAGUUUCCUCCUGCUCCUUGUGCACUGCUUUGCUCACAUCACUGCUGCUGACUUCAGCCAAGACACCAACCCAACCUUUCUGAGGCUUUUUUACCAGGCACUAAAGACUUGCCUUGGUGAGAUGUUUUCUCUCAGACUUCAGCUGUCAGCAGUUCUCCAAGAUAAUAAAUCCUCUGGGAUAACUCAGAUGUUGCUGAAGGAAGAGCCGUUCUCCAAGGAAGAAAUAAGUCUGAUCUCCCAACUUUUUGAGGUGAAAGGGAAAAACCUCACAGAAAUCGAAGCCUUUGAGAAGAUACUAAGACAGACUGACUCCUGGUCUGGUUGAAAACUCACCAUCCUUUUUUUCCAUACUUCAUUACAAAAUGGCAAUUAAAAGCUGCUUAUAGAUAUUGGGGCUCCCUCAUUUGCAGCCAUCAAUUCCUAACAAACAUGUAACUGUUUCAAAUCUAACUAGCCUAUACUAGCCUCACAAGUAUCAUUUUUACCUGGAAAAAAAACCCUCAUAGCACAAAAAAAAUUAUUUGGCCUCAUACAAAUCACUAGGACAGCAUAAAAAGCAGCACUAUGAAAAAUGUAUGUAAAGAGUCU
This 1533-nucleotide long non-coding RNA is filed under the name Chrysolophus pictus (golden pheasant). Its description in RNAcentral is "lncRNA (ENSCPIG00010010553.1)". Lineage: Eukaryota; Metazoa; Chordata; Aves; Galliformes; Phasianidae. The record is from RNAcentral.